AUGGCCAGAUUAAGAAAGCUCCAAAAUAUCGGAAAGAAUCCUUUAAAAAAAAAAAUAGCCAUCAUUUCAAUGAUGGAAGGACAAUCUUUUUCUCCAUUUACAUACCACUCUUCCGUGACCCUUCCCCCUCCCUCUACUAUCUCUUCCCCACCCCCACUCCCCCUAAAAAAAAAUGAGGCCCUCAACAUAAACAAGAACCUGGAUGUUUACCGUGCUUUGUGCACACCCUCCAGCAGGCCAUGGAUUCGGACACCCCCUCCCCCGUGGUUCCACAGUUCAGUGGCUUGGCUUAGUGAGCAUCAUGCAACUCUGGGACUACCACCAAGGUAUUGUCAAGUCUUUUAUCACCCUGGCAACACAGCAGCUACUCUCAUAUGGUCACUAAGUACUAUCCCUAUGCAUACUUUGCUGAGAAUUUCCAAUACAACAUUAAAUCUUCAGAAACCUAAAUUCCUGGGAUAUCAAGAGUCAACUCAAUCCAGGGCCACCAAACAACCUCUCCAAUUAAGAAGUAUAUCGCUAUGGAAAAAAGAAUGCUUUUUGAGGAACAACUCAUGGAGGAACCUGAUCCAUAGA
Long non-coding RNA from Monodelphis domestica (gray short-tailed opossum), 576 nucleotides. Lineage: Eukaryota; Metazoa; Chordata; Mammalia; Didelphimorphia; Didelphidae. The record is from Ensembl.